AAAAUUAUAGAGGAGAUUCAAUACCUGAUUGAUGUGUUUAAGAAAAAAGAAGGUAAGGCGUUUGACACCACCCAGCCUGUGAGCUACACUGCCUCCAACGUCAUAUGUUGUUUUCUGUAUGGGCAAAGAGUUGAUUAUGAUGACGAAGACUUCAGAUCUAUGGUGGACCAGACCAGAAGGAAUACUCAACUCUCUCGUCUUCAGUACAGUUAUACAACAGCUUUCCAAGGCUGUUCAGGUGGCUCGGUGCCCGAAAGCAACUGAUGAAGGGUGCCUUUGCAAAUCGGACACUUGUGGCAGAGAGGAUCAAGCAUUUAGAGGCUGAUCCAUCCUCUGAAUCCACACAUGAGCAGAGGUUUUGUGGAUUCCUUUCUGGUGCGCAAGAGAGAGCUUGAGGUAUAGGCAUAAUUAUUUUUCCUAGAAUAAAGAUAGAAAGUGGGUCAUACUGCAAA
Solea senegalensis (Senegalese sole) is the source of this 452-nucleotide long non-coding RNA. RefSeq lists it as uncharacterized. The record is from RefSeq and is a predicted model, not a curated record. The transcript has 3 exons. NCBI's taxonomy places the organism in Eukaryota, Metazoa, Chordata, Actinopteri, Pleuronectiformes, Soleidae.